AUGAUGACAUGCACAACUAGACUAGAACUUUUAUCUAAUUGUGUCUUCCACUAUUUUAUCAAACUUCAUACCCCUCAAAUAUAAAAAUUGAGAAACAUACUAAUGUCUCUUAGUGGGGUUGAGAUCUCUAUUCCUCAUAAAUACCUUGUGGAUAGCACAAUAAGUAUUCAUGAGUUCAAGAAUAGAUAACUCUUUACCAAUUGUACAUCUACAAUUCUUAACAUCUUUCUUUUUAGCCUCU
Molecule: long non-coding RNA, 241 nt
Filed under: Elaeis guineensis (African oil palm)
Lineage: Eukaryota; Viridiplantae; Streptophyta; Magnoliopsida; Arecales; Arecaceae
Description: long non-coding RNA (EGUI_LNC033473)
Source: RNAcentral